GAGCGAACGGAUAAGGAGCUUGCUCCUUUGAAGUUAGCGGCGGACGGGUGAGUAACACGUGGGUAACCUACCUAUAAGACUGGAAUAACUUCGGGAAACCGGAGCUAAUGCCGGAUAACAUUUGGAACCGCAUGGUUCUAAAGUAAAAGAUGGUUUUGCUAUCACUUAUAGAUGGACCCGCGCCGUAUUAGCUAGUUGGUAAGGUAACGGCUUACCAAGGCAACGAUACGUAGCCGACCUGAGAGGGUGAUCGGCCACACUGGAACUGAGACACGGUCCAGACUCCUACGGGAGGCAGCAGUAGGGAAUCUUCCGCAAUGGACGAAAGUCUGACGGAGCAACGCCGCGUGAGUGAUGAAGGUUUUCGGAUCGUAAAACUCUGUUAUUAGGGAAGAACAAAUGUGUAAGUAACUGUGCACAUCUUGACGGUACCUAAUCAGAAAGCCACGGCUAACUACGUGCCAGCAGCCGCGGUAAUACGUAGGUGGCAAGCGUUAUCCGGAAUUAUUGGGCGUAAAGCGCGCGUAGGCGGUUUCUUAAGUCUGAUGUGAAAGCCCACGGCUCAACCGUGGAGGGUCAUUGGAAACUGGGAAACUUGAGUACAGAAGAGGAAAGUGGAAUUCCAUGUGUAGCGGUGAAAUGCGCAGAGAUAUGGAGGAACACCAGUGGCGAAGGCGACUUUCUGGUCUGUAACUGACGCUGAUGUGCGAAAGCGUGGGGAUCAAACAGGAUUAG
This 735-nucleotide ribosomal RNA is filed under the name uncultured bacterium. RNAcentral's name for it is "bacterial SSU rRNA". It matches the Rfam family "Bacterial small subunit ribosomal RNA", at positions 64 to 781 of the family's 1533-position model. The record is from RNAcentral.